CCCCCAGCAACAAAUUUGCCCUGGCAGCAUAUGGGUGAAAACGCUGGAGUGAUUAUCAAUAGGAGACAGUCAUUGCUUUGUUAUUGGCUCUUGGACUCCCCUGGCAUCUCGUGUACCGCAUCAAGUUUCCAGCUAUGAAGUUUAAUGUAGAUUUCCUGAGACUCCAGAAUGAAAACCAAGAAUCUGGAG
This is a long non-coding RNA of Esox lucius (northern pike), 189 nucleotides long. RefSeq lists it as uncharacterized. The transcript has 3 exons. The record is from RefSeq and is a predicted model, not a curated record. NCBI's taxonomy places the organism in Eukaryota, Metazoa, Chordata, Actinopteri, Esociformes, Esocidae.